GCGUCGGUAGUGCAGUGAUUAGCAUACGCUCCCGGAAAGAGUGAGAUCUGGGUUCGAAUCCCAGUUGACGCA
Parelaphostrongylus tenuis is the source of this 72-nucleotide non-coding RNA. The record is from the annotation of a GenBank genome assembly. NCBI's taxonomy places the organism in Eukaryota, Metazoa, Nematoda, Chromadorea, Rhabditida, Metastrongylidae.